RNAcentral lists this ribosomal RNA (398 nucleotides) under uncultured bacterium. Its description in RNAcentral is "bacterial SSU rRNA". It matches the Rfam family "Bacterial small subunit ribosomal RNA", at positions 28 to 430 of the family's 1533-position model. The record is from RNAcentral.
GACGAACGCUGGCGGCGUGCUUAACACAUGCAAGUCGAGCGGUAAGGCCCUUUCGGGGGUACGACGAGCGGCGAACGGGUGAGUAACACGUGGGUGACCUGCCCUCAGCUCUGGGAUAAGCCUGGGAAACCGGGUCUAAUACUGGAUAUGACUCCAUGACGCAUGUUGUGGGGUGGAAAGCCUUGUGCGGCUGAGGAUGGGCCCGCGGCCUAUCAGCUUGUUGGUGGGGUGAGGCCUACCAAGGCGACGACGGGUAGCCGGCCUGAGAGGGCGACCGGCCACACUGGGACUGAGACACGGGCCCAGACUCCUACGGGAGGCAGCAGGUGGGGAAUCUUGCGCAAUGGGCGAAAGCCUGACGCAGCGACGCGCGUGAGGGAUGACGGCCUGGUGUAACG